This 520-nucleotide ribosomal RNA is filed under the name uncultured bacterium. Its description in RNAcentral is "bacterial SSU rRNA". It matches the Rfam family "Bacterial small subunit ribosomal RNA", at positions 777 to 1296 of the family's 1533-position model. The record is from RNAcentral.
AAUAGAUACCCUGGUAGUCCACGCCGUAAACGAUGAGUGCUAAGUGUUGGAGGGUUUCCGCCUUUCAGUGCUGCAGCUAACGCAUUAAGCACUCCGCCUGGGGAGUACGGUCGCAAGACUGAAACUCAAAGGAAUUGACGGGGGCCCGCACAAGCGGUGGAGCAUGUGGUUUAAUUCGAAGCAACGCGAAGAACCUUACCAGGUCUUGACAUCUCCUGACCGCCCUGGAGACAGGGUCUUCCCUUCGGGGACAGGAUGACAGGUGGUGCAUGGUUGUCGUCAGCUCGUGUCGUGAGAUGUUGGGUUAAGUCCCGCAACGAGCGCAACCCUUGGUUCUAGUUGCCAGCAUUCAGUUGGGCACUCUAGAGCGACUGCCGGCGACAAGUCGGAGGAAGGUGGGGAUGACGUCAAAUCAUCAUGCCCCUUAUGACCUGGGCUACACACGUGCUACAAUGGAUGGUACAAAGGGCAGCGAAGCGGCGACGCAUAAGCGAAUCCCAGAAAACCAUUCUCAGUUCGG